GGGUUUUUAGCUCAGUUGGUAGAGCACCUGACUCUUAAUCAGGGUGUCCGGGGUUCGAGUCCCCGAAGACCCACCA
This 76-nucleotide transfer RNA is filed under the name Christensenellaceae bacterium. RNAcentral describes it as "tRNA-Lys". It matches the Rfam family "tRNA". From Rfam's summary of the family: Transfer RNA (tRNA) molecules are approximately 80 nucleotides in length. Lineage: Bacteria; Bacillati; Bacillota; Clostridia; Christensenellales; Christensenellaceae. RNAcentral also lists the same sequence under 1 other name. The record is from RNAcentral.